This 672-nucleotide ribosomal RNA is filed under the name Bacillus sp. FJAT-4396. Its description in RNAcentral is "bacterial SSU rRNA". It matches the Rfam family "Bacterial small subunit ribosomal RNA", at positions 78 to 736 of the family's 1533-position model. The record is from RNAcentral. Lineage: Bacteria; Bacillati; Bacillota; Bacilli; Caryophanales; Bacillaceae.
UUGCUUCUAUGACGUUAGCGGCGGACGGGUGAGUAACACGUGGGCAACCUGCCUGUAAGACUGGGAUAACUUCGGGAAACCGAAGCUAAUACCGGAUAGGAUCUUCUCCUUCAUGGGAGAUGAUUGAAAGAUGGUUUCGGCUAUCACUUACAGAUGGGCCCGCGGUGCAUUAGCUAGUUGGUGAGGUAACGGCUCACCAAGGCAACGAUGCAUAGCCGACCUGAGAGGGUGAUCGGCCACACUGGGACUGAGACACGGCCCAGACUCCUACGGGAGGCAGCAGUAGGGAAUCUUCCGCAAUGGACGAAAGUCUGACGGAGCAACGCCGCGUGAGUGAUGAAGGCUUUCGGGUCGUAAAACUCUGUUGUUAGGGAAGAACAAGUACGAGAGUAACUGCUCGUACCUUGACGGUACCUAACCAGAAAGCCACGGCUAACUACGUGCCAGCAGCCGCGGUAAUACGUAGGUGGCAAGCGUUAUCCGGAAUUAUUGGGCGUAAAGCGCGCGCAGGCGGUUUCUUAAGUCUGAUGUGAAAGCCCACGGCUCAACCGUGGAGGGUCAUUGGAAACUGGGGAACUUGAGUGCAGAAGAGAAAAGCGGAAUUCCACGUGUAGCGGUGAAAUGCGUAGAGAUGUGGAGGAACACCAGUGGCGAAGGCGGCUUUUUGGUCUG